This 253-nucleotide ribosomal RNA is filed under the name uncultured bacterium. RNAcentral describes it as "partial 16S ribosomal RNA". It matches the Rfam family "Bacterial small subunit ribosomal RNA", at positions 524 to 776 of the family's 1533-position model. RNAcentral also lists the same sequence under 1 other name. The record is from RNAcentral.
UACAGAGGUGGCAAGCGUUGUUCGGAAUUACUGGGCGUAAAGGGCGCGUAGGCGGUUCGAUAAGUCCCGUGUGAAAUCCCUCGGCUCAACUGAGGAAUGGCACGGGAAACUGACGGGCUUGAGUUCGGGAGAGGGAAGCGGAAUUCCGGGUGUAGCGGUGAAAUGCGUAGAUAUCCGGAGGAACACCGGUGGCGAAGGCGGCUUCCUGGACCGACACUGACGCUGAGGCGCGAAAGCUAGGGGAGCAAACGGG